Molecule: non-coding RNA, 4871 nt
Organism: Camelina sativa (false flax)
Lineage: Eukaryota; Viridiplantae; Streptophyta; Magnoliopsida; Brassicales; Brassicaceae
Source: RefSeq, a predicted model, not a curated record
AUGAAUUAUUAUUUAUCUUUGAAAAAUAAAAAAGAUGCUUGAUUCGGCGUAUAACUGGUAAAAUUGUCUGGGUUCUUUCUUCUUCGUCUUCUUAAUCGUGGGUUUGAAGCUUGUUUCGGGUUGAAACAAUCCUCGAGGUAUGUAAAUCUCUAUUUUCUCGUUUUUAAUUUGUGGUUUAUUUUUAUUUUCUUGGUUUUGUUUUCUGAGUUUUGGAAGAUUAAAAUCGAACGAGAGAAGAAACAUGUAUGAUCAGCUCUCUUCGAUGAGAUUGUUUUCGCGAUUUUGGAAUCAAGAUGAUUUCAAUUUCUGGUUUCUUUUUUCUUUUUCUUUUUGUUGAUUUUGUUUUCUGAAUUUUGGAGGAUUGAAAUCAAACAAGAGAACAAGCAUGUAUGAAAGCUCUUAUCGAUGAGAUUUUUUUUGCAAUUGACAAUUCGUUUUGGGAUUUUGGAAUCAAGAUGUUUUGUUUCAAUAGUAUUUUCAAAACCUUUUUAAUCGUCCUACAGAUUCUUAAUCUUGGGAUAUAUUGUGAACAGUUUGGUUUUUGUUUUUGUUUUAAAACCCAAAAAGAUUCAUGGGCAGACACUAAUCUAAUAGUGUUCUGUCAGAUUCUUUUUGGGGACAUUGUCCCUUGCAAACUGUGCAUUGAACUGGCUGGGUAGUGCAUGCAUAUGUUGGGAGUUGGUAAAAGAGGUUGCGAUGGGAAUGACCUACGGGUUUAAAGUCUCAAGACAAAGACUGAAUAACACAAAAAAGCUCUAAGAGUUUGGUACCCACGGCUUUGGAUGGAAACAACCUAUGGCUUAGAAAAAUUACAAGACAAAAGAGCAACGUCUUAAGACAAAGACUGAAUAACACAGAGCUCUAAGAGUUUGGUACCCACGGCUUUGGAUGGAAAACACCUAUGGCUUAGAAAAACUGCAAGACAAAAGAGCUCUAAGAGUUUGAAUGGGAAUGACCUACGGGUUAAGAGUCUUAAGACAAAGACUUGAAUAACACAAAAGAGCUCUAAGAGAGUUUGGUACCCACGGCUUUGGAUGGAAACAACCUAUGGCUUAGAAAAAUUAUAAGACAAAAGAGCUAAGUCUAAGACAAAGACUGAAUAACACAGAGCUCUAAGAGUUUGGUACCCACGGCUUUGGAUGAAACAACCUAUGGCUUAAAAAAAUAAGACAAAAGAGCAAAGUCUUAAGACAAAGACUGAAUAACACAAAAGGGCUAUGGUACCCACGGCUUUGGAUGGAAACAACCUAUGGCUUACAAAAAUUACAAGACAUAAGAGCUCUAAGAGUCUUAAGACAAAGACUUGAAUAACACAAAAGAGCUCUAAGAGUUUGGUACCCACGGCUUUGGAUGGAAACAACCUAUGGCUUACAAAAAUUACAAGACAUAAGAGCUCUAAGAGUCUUAAGACAAAGACUUGAAUAACACAAAAGAGCUCUAAGAGUUUGGUACCCACGGCUUUGGAUGGAAACAACCUAUGGCUUAAAAAAAUUAUAAGACAAAAGAGCAAAGUCUGAAGACAAAGACUGAAUAACACAAAAGAGCUCUGGUACCCACGGCUUUAGAUGGAAACAACCUAUGGCUUAGAAAAAUUACAAGACAAAAGAGCAAAGUCUUAAGACAAAGACUGAAUAACUUAAAAGCGCUCUAAGAGUUUGGUAGCCACGGCUUUGGAUGGAAACGAUGGCUUAGAAAAAUUAUAAGACAAAAGAGCAAAGUCUUAACAAAGACUGAACAUAUUACUGACAGACUGAACAUUUAAGCUUCAAAAAACAAGGUAAGUAAAGGGGCAUUUAUGUUCAAUGGAUACUAACUAAUUAAGAUUUCCUCAGGUAUUUGGUUCUGAAGGCGUUGAAAUGGACAAACUCUGAGGAGAUUACAAGUGUGGCAGACUUCUUUAACAGGUAUAUGCUUGAAAAAGGUGUUCAUAAUCAGGUAUAGACUUUUCUCAACUUGUCUGUGAUUAAUUGUUAUUAUCACCUGUGAAAACUACAUUUAUAAGUUAGAUUAUAUAUCUACGUAACGUAGAGAUAUUAGAUAUGUAUAUCUAAAACACCAUUCUAAUUAAAGAUGUAUCUUGAAUAGUUGUCUUGACAUUAUUAUUUCAUUGUUCUAGUAUCUGUCGGAUUGUAGAAACUUAUUGUUAAUAUAUCCAUUGUUAAUUUAUUGUGUCGGUACUUAUGUGACAUAGAGUUUCUCAUUUCGGUACUUAUUGUAGUCUGUCGGAUUGUAGAAAUUCACUGUUAACUUAUUGUGUCUCUGUUUCGGUACUUAUGUAUCAUAGAGUUUCUCAUUUUAUAAAUGGGAAUGCUCUUGUAGUCUAUUGUAGUUUUGAACGUAGAUGAGACUCUUGCAAAUGAUGGUAGUAGUUUGCUUGAAUCUUGAGUGUCUUUUUUUUUACUUUAUACUCUAAAAACCCUUUUCGAUACUAGUAAUCUCUGAUUUGGUGCUUCUAUGUAAGAUAAGACUUCUUUUUUUAUGAAACUGAUAGAGAUGUAAUUUAUUUCACCUAAGUACUAUCUUAGUUAGACUUGAUAAAGUCAUAUGAUUUGUUUCCGUUUCUAUAUUAGGUUUCUCUUUAAAUAAAGAGCUUAGGUUUUAGAGAAGACAGGAAAGUUAGACAUAAGAGUUAUUUUCUUAGGAUUGGACAAGGGUUUUCGGUCCUUGUAGGGAGAGCUUGUCUCUUUGUUUAUCUAUCUUUAGUUCCCUAUAUCGAUAAAAUCAGUUAUAUUUCUCAUAUUUGUAAGCCUUGUGAGUUUUAACUCCAUCUGAAAUGGAUGAAGUUUUUAGUUGAUUGUAGCUAUUUAUUUACGUUCAUGAGACUCAUGUAGAUAAUUGUAGUAGUUUCCCUUGAAUAUUGAAUGUCUUCGUUUUGCGUUAUGAUCUUAAGUCUAAACACUUGGUGACUGAUGUUUUGGCGUUUUGUAUUAUUAACUGAUGAAUUACUGUGUUUUCUAUAAAUUGUACAUGAUGGCUUAGUCUUUACUAUACAUGUUGUCAGUUUAUGGUAGUAGGUCUGCUCUUAGUCUUACAUAGUUGAUGCAAUUUCAUGUGUUUGGUUUGUUAGUUUGAAUAACACUUUCUAUGAUUGAUGUCAAAAUCAGAAAUUAGUUCGCUUUUAUCAUCCUCAUUGUAGGCAUAUGAAAUAUAUACAUUUAGGUCGGACUAAAUGUAUCCUAUAUCCAGUAUUUGGUUUCGUAGUUUGCUAUAAUAGUUUUAGAAUUAGAAGUUCUUAAAUCUCUACUUUAGUAAAAAGGUUUAUGUAAAACGUCCAGUCUUAUACUCUUAUGUUUGGUACUAGGCAAAGGACAGAGUAUACAUGUGUCUUCUGAUAUGUUUCUAAGAGACAUCAUAAUCAAUUGCUAAACUAAAGAGUUCAGGUGUUGAGGCAGUACGAUUAUAUAGAACCUUUCAAUAUAUCUUGCACCUUUUGUCUAUUUCCACAUUUGAUUUUUGAAUUCGGCACCAUAAAAUGAUGAUUAUUGAGUUAGAUUCUACAAACUGUAUUGGUCGACUUACAAUCCAUUGAUUGAAAAUAUAUCUGCUAUGGUGUAUUCGUGUCUGUCAUUUAGUCUAUUGAAUCACACGUGUAUUUAUUUACAAAGUGCAAUAGAUAUUUCUUGAAAUCCUUACCAUACCUUAUGUUUCCAUAAUAGUUUUCUAUCGUUGAUGACUUGAGAACAACAGGCGAUUCUAUCUUUCUUAUUGUAGAGUGGCAUAACUGAUAUUCUCUGCUAUUUAGAUCAACUAAAUGUGUUUUUAGAUUUGAUCAUACUCUAAUAUGUACAUAGUUUAUGUUUGUUACUAGGCAAAGUAGCCGAUUGAGUUACUAACUUAUUAUUUUAGAGCAUUAGAGCUGAUUGUUUGUCAAUGGAAAUUGGAUUUCACUGUUUUCUACUUUUCUUGUCAAUAAACAAUUUUUUGGCAGUUUUCUUUUGAUAUAGUUUUGUGUUAGAUUACUAAUAUACUAGCAUUAUAUGUUUGUUCAUUAACAUCGUUUUUGGUAUCUUUUUAGAUUUGUGUUAGAUUAUAAGAUUUGGCUGGUGUACACACAUCACUUGCAUUUUGGUUUCUUGUCUUUUGACCAUUUUUUGGAUGAUAGCAUUUUAAGUUUUGCUUCUCGAUAAUUAAGCUUUUGCGUGAUAAGUUAAUGAUAACUUUGUAUGUUUAUCCUAAAUUGCACCACUUAAUUUAACUUCCAGUGCUGUCUAUGAUGGUUUUGCGUAAUUAGUAUGUGUAUGUUUUUGAUUGAACCCAACUUGAAUCUUUUGUUUCGAUUGCAUAGAGUUUAUAACUUAUAACUUGAACACUAUUUUACUAUUUAAACAAAAACCAAUGUAGAUUUUCAAAGAACGCUAGAUUUUUCAAGAAAAUAUUCGAAUAGUGUAAAUUUUCUACAUUAAACCGUAAGAUUUAGAUCAUAAACCUUUAUGAGUCUGACGAAAGACAAAAUUUGUGAGAAAAAUAUAGGUAAAAUGACAAUGAAAAAUAAACAAAUCAAGUAAAUUUAAUAAAACCCAAACUGAUUUUUCAUAUAACUCAUAAUUCUAACUUUACCAUUCAUUUACUUGUUACUGAAAUUGUAAUAUGUAUACAUAUUUGUUCUUCGUAAAACGGUAACAUUAUUAUAUGUUUUUAUGUAGAUGUAGAUGUAUAAUCAUUCAUUACUAAACACUCAAACUCUGUUUCAUGUAAGAAACUAAGAGCAUCUUUACUGGCAGUUACUCUCAUGGUUACUCAACCAUUUGGGGCCAAAAAACUGAAUAAAAAAUCUAUUUACGAUCCAUUUAGGAGAGAAUCGAUUCCCUGGGAAGCAUCUGAAGCAACACCAUGAGUAACCGUACGUGGCCUAUUUUCAUUCGUAAAUACAU